This 1487-nucleotide ribosomal RNA is filed under the name Salmonella enterica. RNAcentral describes it as "partial 23S ribosomal RNA". It matches the Rfam family "Bacterial large subunit ribosomal RNA", at positions 711 to 2179 of the family's 2925-position model. The record is from RNAcentral. Lineage: Bacteria; Pseudomonadati; Pseudomonadota; Gammaproteobacteria; Enterobacterales; Enterobacteriaceae.
AGACCCGAAACCCGGUGAUCUAGCCAUGGGCAGGUUGAAGGUUGGGUAACACUAACUGGAGGACCGAACCGACUAAUGUUGAAAAAUUAGCGGAUGACCUGUGGCUGGGGGUGAAAGGCCAAUCAAACCGGGAGAUAGCUGGUUCUCCCCGAAAGCUAUUUAGGUAGCGCCUCGUGAAUUCAUCUCCGGGGGUAGAGCACUGUUUCGGCUAGGGGGCCAUCCCGGCUUACCAACCCGAUGCAAACUGCGAAUACCGGAGAAUGUUAUCACGGGAGACACACGGCGGGUGCUAACGUCCGUCGUGAAGAGGGAAACAACCCAGACCGCCAGCUAAGGUCCCAAAGUCAUGGUUAAGUGGGAAACGAUGUGGGAAGGCCCAGACAGCCAGGAUGUUGGCUUAGAAGCAGCCAUCAUUUAAAGAAAGCGUAAUAGCUCACUGGUCGAGUCGGCCUGCGCGGAAGAUGUAACGGGGCUAAACCAUGCACCGAAGCUGCGGCAGCGACACUGUGUGUUGUUGGGUAGGGGAGCGUUCUGUAAGCCUGUGAAGGUGGCCUGUGAGGGUUGCUGGAGGUAUCAGAAGUGCGAAUGCUGACAUAAGUAACGAUAAAGCGGGUGAAAAGCCCGCUCGCCGGAAGACCAAGGGUUCCUGUCCAACGUUAAUCGGGGCAGGGUGAGUCGACCCCUAAGGCGAGGCCGAAAGGCGUAGUCGAUGGGAAACGGGUUAAUAUUCCCGUACUUGGUGUUACUGCGAAGGGGGGACGGAGAAGGCUAUGUUGGCCGGGCGACGGUUGUCCCGGUUUAAGCGUGUAGGUGUGUGUUCCAGGUAAAUCCGGUUCACUUUAACACUGAGGCGUGACGACGAGGCACUACGGUGCUGAAGCAACAAAUGCCCUGCUUCCAGGAAAAGCCUCUAAGCAUCAGGUAACAUCAAAUCGUACCCCAAACCGACACAGGUGGUCAGGUAGAGAAUACCAAGGCGCUUGAGAGAACUCGGGUGAAGGAACUAGGCAAAAUGGUGCCGUAACUUCGGGAGAAGGCACGCUGACACGUAGGUGAAGUGAUUUACUCACGGAGCUGAAGUCAGUCGAAGAUACCAGCUGGCUGCAACUGUUUAUUAAAAACACAGCACUGUGCAAACACGAAAGUGGACGUAUACGGUGUGACGCCUGCCCGGUGCCGGAAGGUUAAUUGAUGGGGUCAGCGCAAGCGAAGCUCCUGAUCGAAGCCCCGGUAAACGGCGGCCGUAACUAUAACGGUCCUAAGGUAGCGAAAUUCCUUGUCGGGUAAGUUCCGACCUGCACGAAUGGCGUAAUGAUGGCCAGGCUGUCUCCACCCGAGACUCAGUGAAAUUGAACUCGCUGUGAAGAUGCAGUGUACCCGCGGCAAGACGGAAAGACCCCGUGAACCUUUACUAUAGCUUGACACUGAACAUUGAGCCUUGAUGUGUAGGAUAGGUGGGAGGCUUUGAAGCGUGGACGCCAGUCUGC